RNAcentral lists this ribosomal RNA (253 nucleotides) under uncultured bacterium. RNAcentral's name for it is "partial 16S ribosomal RNA". It matches the Rfam family "Bacterial small subunit ribosomal RNA", at positions 524 to 776 of the family's 1533-position model. The record is from RNAcentral.
UACAGAGGUCUCGAGCGUUAGGCGGAAUCACUGGGCUUAAAGCGUGUGUAGGCGGAUCGUUAAGUGCCUUGUGAAAUCCCACGGCUCAACCGUGGAACUGCUUGGCAUACUGGCGGUCUUGAGCAACCUAGGGGCGAGCGGAACAAAUGGUGGAGCGGUGAAAUGCGUAGAUAUCGCUUGGAACGCCGAAGGUGAAAACAGGCUGCUGGGGUCGCGCCGACGCUGAGACACGAAAGCCAGGGGAGCAAACGGG